UACGUAGGGCGCAAGCGUUAUCCGUAAUUAUUGGGCGUAAAGAGCUCGUAGGCGGUUUGUCGCGUCUGCCGUGAAAGUCCGGGGCUCAACUCCGGAUCUGCGGUGGGUACGGGCAGACUAGAGUGAUGUAGGGGAGACUGGAAUUCCUGGUGUAGCGGUGAAAUGCGCAGAUAUCAGGAGGAACACCGAUGGCGAAGGCAGGUCUCUGGGCAUUAACUGACGCUGAGGAGCGAAAGCAUGGGGAGCGAACAGG
This 253-nucleotide ribosomal RNA is filed under the name uncultured bacterium. Its description in RNAcentral is "partial 16S ribosomal RNA". It matches the Rfam family "Bacterial small subunit ribosomal RNA", at positions 524 to 776 of the family's 1533-position model. The record is from RNAcentral.